This 375-nucleotide ribosomal RNA is filed under the name uncultured bacterium. RNAcentral's name for it is "bacterial SSU rRNA". It matches the Rfam family "Bacterial small subunit ribosomal RNA", at positions 407 to 796 of the family's 1533-position model. The record is from RNAcentral.
GAUGACGGCCUUCGGGUUGUAAACCGCUUUCAGUACCGACGAANCGAAGUGACGGUAGGUGCAGAAGAGGACCGGCCAACUACGUGCCAGCAGCCGCGGUGAUACGUAGGGUCCGAGCGUUGUCCGGAAUUAUUGGGCGUAAAGGGCUUGUAGGCGGUCUGCUGCGUCGGGAGUGAAAACUCAGGGCUUAACCCUGAGCCUGCUUCCGAUACGGGCAGACUAGAGGGAUGCAGGGGAGAAUGGAAUUCCUGGUGGAGCGGUGGAAUGCGCAGAUAUCAGGAGGAACACCAGUGGCGAAGGCGGUUCUCUGGGCAUUUCCUGACGCUGAGAAGCGAAAGCGUGGGGAGCAAACAGGAUUAGAUACCCUGGUAGUCC